Molecule: long non-coding RNA, 1590 nt
Organism: Sinocyclocheilus anshuiensis
Lineage: Eukaryota; Metazoa; Chordata; Actinopteri; Cypriniformes; Cyprinidae
Exons: 2
Source: RefSeq, a predicted model, not a curated record
CAUAAUUAUGAUUUUACGUAAUGUAAUUGCGAUUUUAGAUGUUAAUUGUGAUGUAAUUGUGACUAUUUCUCCCGACUGCAUUUUCAUGUAUCAGUCACUCAAUAUUGUGACCAUAUAUCACAAGAUAUUUUAUAUCUCUUAAUUGUGACUUUACUUAAUGUAAUUGCAGUUGUAGGUGAUAAAUAUGAUUUUAUAUUGUAAUUGUGACUUUUUCGCAAUUACAUUUUUAUAUCGCAUUAUUAGUAUAUCUCAGUUUUGACUGUAUAUCACAAGAGAUUUUAUUUCUCGAAAUUGUGACAAUGUUUUUCCAAUUUAUAAUUGUGACUUUAUAUCGUAAUAUAGCAGAAGAGAUAUUAUUUCUCUUAAUUGUGGCUUAAUUACAAACUUAUAUAAUAAAUUUCAAAUUUAAUUCUCACAAUUGCGACUUUAUUUCUCACAUUGUGACUGUAUAUCUUAUCUAGAUAGUUGUAUCUCACAACUGUAUUUUAACUUUAUGGUUUAGUUAACUUAACAGCGAGUCCUCCAGCAAUAAAAUCGCUGUCAGUGUGAACACGCCGCGACAAGACAUUUUCUAAUUCUAUAGCAUUAAAAAGCUCCUCCCUCUGUGAAAUCUCAUUGUUUCUCUCUUCAUAACUGUACAUUAAGCACUGUACAUACAUCUGAUUGGCUGUGAACGUGUCAUGUCACUCAGCAGUUUCUCGUUCAGUGUGGGCAAAUGAUCUUGGCAGUGAAUUCAUCACAUCGUGUCCCGUUUGGACAUCUUAUUGAACUUGCCAUUAGAUUCUUUCAAAAAAUGCACAUUAUUUAGCAUAUUUUGUAAAUAUAUAAAUGAUGAAUUAUAAAACGCCUUCCUGACUGCUUACUAAUAUAGCUCCUCACUAUAUUUGUCUAAAUAUUUGUAUAAAUGGAUAUAAAGUAAAAUAUCAGUAUUUUAUAAUGGAGUUGUAGAGAUAUUUAAAACCUGAAGAAACACAUUUAAACCAUGUCCCUCUUUACCGUUGCCUUUGAAUUUCAAUAAUGCUUAAAGUAUCAUUUUAAAUAAUGAAACUGCAAUGUAACAGCUCAAUAAAUGUAAUACACAUUUUAGUUAAAAACUCCAUCUUUGACUGAGCAAUUUAUUCAUUAUAUUUAUAAUCACAAGUUUGCAUGAUAGUCUUUAUCCGGCCAAGUCAGUCAAAUGUAUGUGUGUUUUCCUGUGAGAUGUACCCAAGUGCUUCCUAAUUUUCCUGAAGGCAUCUCUUUUUUUUUCAACCGAUAUGUAGCACAGUUGAUACUUUGUAAUAUGGAUCAUCUACUCUCUUUUGUUUUUUUUACUUAUGCUAAGAUGUAUAUACUUUCAGUAACCCUGCGGAGACAGUGCAUGUAAAUAUGUAUCAGUGCAGAGCACAUACCAUCAGUUUAUUAUUUUUCUAUUUAAGGAAACCUACUUUAACCAUUGAAUCACACUCUUGUGCUGCUCGUGUAAUUGAUUUGUAAACAGCACUGCAUCAUAGUUGCACUGACAGGUUACUCAAUACUAGUCAAAACCUAACUGCACUCAUAUUUUUCAAUAACUGAUAAUACUAAUUUGCACUUGUUAAAUAUGUUAAA